RNAcentral lists this transfer RNA (74 nucleotides) under Allium fistulosum (Welsh onion). RNAcentral's name for it is "tRNA-Met". It matches the Rfam family "tRNA". From Rfam's summary of the family: Transfer RNA (tRNA) molecules are approximately 80 nucleotides in length. Their secondary structure includes four short double-helical elements and three loops (D, anti-codon, and T loops). Lineage: Eukaryota; Viridiplantae; Streptophyta; Magnoliopsida; Asparagales; Amaryllidaceae. The record is from RNAcentral.
UGCGGGGUAGAGCAGUUUGGUAGCUCGCAAGGCUCAUAACCUUGAGGUCACAGGUUCAAAUCCUGUCCCCGUGU